Molecule: ribosomal RNA, 1796 nt
Filed under: Escherichia coli
Lineage: Bacteria; Pseudomonadati; Pseudomonadota; Gammaproteobacteria; Enterobacterales; Enterobacteriaceae
Also listed under: 1 other name
Description: partial 23S ribosomal RNA
Rfam family: Bacterial large subunit ribosomal RNA
Source: RNAcentral
UCGAGUCGGCCUGCGCGGAAGAUGUAACGGGGCUAAACCAUGCACCGAAGCUGCGGCAGCGACACUGUGUGUUGUUGGGUAGGGGAGCGUUCUGUAAGCCUGUGAAGGUGUGCUGUGAGGCAUGCUGGAGGUAUCAGAAGUGCGAAUGCUGACAUAAGUAACGAUAAAGCGGGUGAAAAGCCCGCUCGCCGGAAGACCAAGGGUUCCUGUCCAACGUUAAUCGGGGCAGGGUGAGUCGACCCCUAAGGCGAGGCCGAAAGGCGUAGUCGAUGGGAAACAGGUUAAUAUUCCUGUACUUGGUGUUACUGCGAAGGGGGGACGGAGAAGGCUAUGUUGGCCGGGCGACGGUUGUCCCGGUUUAAGCGUGUAGGCUGGUUUUCCAGGCAAAUCCGGAAAAUCAAGGCUGAGGCGUGAUGACGAGGCACUACGGUGCUGAAGCAACAAAUGCCCUGCUUCCAGGAAAAGCCUCUAAGCAUCAGGUAACAUCAAAUCGUACCCCAAACCGACACAGGUGGUCAGGUAGAGAAUACCAAGGCGCUUGAGAGAACUCGGGUGAAGGAACUAGGCAAAAUGGUGCCGUAACUUCGGGAGAAGGCACGCUGAUAUGUAGGUGAAGUCCCUCGCGGAUGGAGCUGAAAUCAGUCGAAGAUACCAGCUGGCUGCAACUGUUUAUUAAAAACACAGCACUGUGCAAACACGAAAGUGGACGUAUACGGUGUGACGCCUGCCCGGUGCCGGAAGGUUAAUUGAUGGGGUCAGCGCAAGCGAAGCUCUUGAUCGAAGCCCCGGUAAACGGCGGCCGUAACUAUAACGGUCCUAAGGUAGCGAAAUUCCUUGUCGGGUAAGUUCCGACCUGCACGAAUGGCGUAAUGAUGGCCAGGCUGUCUCCACCCGAGACUCAGUGAAAUUGAACUCGCUGUGAAGAUGCAGUGUACCCGCGGCAAGACGGAAAGACCCCGUGAACCUUUACUAUAGCUUGACACUGAACAUUGAGCCUUGAUGUGUAGGAUAGGUGGGAGGCUUUGAAGUGUGGACGCCAGUCUGCAUGGAGCCGACCUUGAAAUACCACCCUUUAAUGUUUGAUGUUCUAACGUGGACCCGUGAUCCGGGUUGCGGACAGUGUCUGGUGGGUAGUUUGACUGGGGCGGUCUCCUCCUAAAGAGUAACGGAGGAGCACGAAGGUUGGCUAAUCCUGGUCGGACAUCAGGAGGUUAGUGCAAUGGCAUAAGCCAGCUUGACUGCGAGCGUGACGGCGCGAGCAGGUGCGAAAGCAGGUCAUAGUGAUCCGGUGGUUCUGAAUGGAAGGGCCAUCGCUCAACGGAUAAAAGGUACUCCGGGGAUAACAGGCUGAUACCGCCCAAGAGUUCAUAUCGACGGCGGUGUUUGGCACCUCGAUGUCGGCUCAUCACAUCCUGGGGCUGAAGUAGGUCCCAAGGGUAUGGCUGUUCGCCAUUUAAAGUGGUACGCGAGCUGGGUUUAGAACGUCGUGAGACAGUUCGGUCCCUAUCUGCCGUGGGCGCUGGAGAACUGAGGGGGGCUGCUCCUAGUACGAGAGGACCGGAGUGGACGCAUCACUGGUGUUCGGGUUGUCAUGCCAAUGGCACUGCCCGGUAGCUAAAUGCGGAAGAGAUAAGUGCUGAAAGCAUCUAAGCACGAAACUUGCCCCGAGAUGAGUUCUCCCUGACCCUUUAAGGGUCCUGAAGGAACGUUGAAGACGACGACGUUGAUAGGCCGGGUGUGUAAGCGCAGCGAUGCGUUGAGCUAACCGGUACUAAUGAACCGUGAGGCUUAACCUU